Long non-coding RNA from Ctenopharyngodon idella (grass carp), 1241 nucleotides. RefSeq lists it as uncharacterized. The record is from RefSeq and is a predicted model, not a curated record. Lineage: Eukaryota; Metazoa; Chordata; Actinopteri; Cypriniformes; Xenocyprididae. The transcript has 2 exons.
CUCAGUUUGUAGACCCCAUCGCCCCAUUAAAAGGAAUCAUUCCUCCUUCAACACAAGACUGUGUUUGAAAAUAUGUGGCAAGCACUACGGUUUAAUUCAGACGAGUCAUUGGGGGUCUUGGCCAAGCGUCCCACGAGCGUAUUCACAGGAUAUUUAAUGGACUUGUACAGUUUGCACGGAAACAGUUCCAAGUUUUUCAGUUCAUCCACACUUGCCAAAUGUUUAGAGCGGCCAAGAAAAUAUGGAAGAAUUCUGAAUUUACAGCUUUGAUGUGUUUCCUGCCUGGUGUGACAGAGGAGAGAAAUGACAAGGGAGUAUGUGUGUAUGUGUGUUUGUGUGUGUGAGAGACUCAUAUGAACAAAAAUGGGAGGAGAAAAGGAGAGAGAGUGAGAAAAGUUACAGCCGACGAGGGAACAUUGUGAGACCGGCUCAGUACAGGAUGAGUGAAGUAGGAGAAAGCUACAGUCGCAUUUGAUGCAUUCAGUCGCUUUGCUUUUCACCCUGUACAAGCAGCUUCUCAGAAUCAGGUGUCAUUUCUGCCUGCUGGAGAAACACACGCUAUCAGGAGUCAACAGACAUCUGCUGCUUCAACACACACGCACACAUGCACACAUGCACUCCGCUGCAGAGAUGAGACCAAAUGUGUGUUUGCUUAGUUGUCAGACGUAACCCAGCUCUGGAAUAGAAGAGCUCUGAACCAGAUUUACAUGGACAAGAAAAACAGCUCCAUAAAUAAUUCUAAUCAUGAGAUAGCCGAUCAGUAUUACUAUCAGGAGAAUACAUGGGAACCUCUUUUGGCGUAGUGGAAAUAUGGGACAAAAAUCAGGAACUGAUUAUUGAGAGACAAGGUCAUGAAUCAUCAUAUGACCGAAAGAAGGAAAAAUAGGAAGAUGCAACAUCUGGCGAAAACAUUCCAUUCAACCACCAAACAUCAGGAGCUCUUAUAUAAAGACCAUCUCCAUUAGCCACGAACAUGUUAAGUUUUGCCACAUUUUGGGUUUAAGGAGGAAUUACGAGCAAGUUUGUUGUAAUAACAUGUGGUUUUAGGUUAAAUUAACACGGGUUUACAAUCUACCCACAUUCUUAUGCCCUCUUAACAACUGCCUUCAUUUACUGACUGUUAACAUUUAUGAUUGUGCAUGUUUGAACAAAAAAGAAAAGACCAGAGAACAGAGAAAGAGAUGGGAAAAUUGUGCAACACAGCCUUGUUAUUAUUAUUAAAUAGGCAUUUGAACAUAAAA